CAGUAGCCGCGGUAAUACGUAGGGUGCAAGCGUUAAUCGGAAUUACUGGGCGUAAAGCGUGCGCAGGCGGUUAUAUAAGACAGAUGUGAAAUCCCCGGGCUCAACCUGGGAACUGCAUUUGUGACUGUAUAGCUAGAGUACGGCAGAGGGGGAUGGAAUUCCGCGUGUAGCAGUGAAAUGCGUAGAUAUGCGGAGGAACAACGAUGGCGAAGGCAAUCCCCUGGGCCUGUACUGACGCUCAUGCACGAAAGCGUGGGGAGCAAACAGGAUUAGAUACCCCAGUAGUCCCUGUCUCUUAUAC
This 301-nucleotide ribosomal RNA is filed under the name uncultured bacterium. Its description in RNAcentral is "partial 16S ribosomal RNA". It matches the Rfam family "Bacterial small subunit ribosomal RNA", at positions 509 to 807 of the family's 1533-position model. The record is from RNAcentral.